RNAcentral lists this ribosomal RNA (497 nucleotides) under uncultured bacterium. RNAcentral's name for it is "partial 16S ribosomal RNA". It matches the Rfam family "Bacterial small subunit ribosomal RNA", at positions 28 to 507 of the family's 1533-position model. The record is from RNAcentral.
GAUGAACGCUGGCGGCGUGCCUAAUACAUGCAGGUCGAGCGAACGGACGAGAAGCUUGCUUCUCUGAUGUUAGCGGCGGACGGGUGAGUAACACGUGGGUAACCUACCUAUAAGACUGGGAUAACUUCGGGAAACCGGAGCUAAUACCGGAUGAUAUUUUGAACCGCAUGGUUCAAAAGUGAAAGACGGUCUUGCUGUCACUUAUAGAUGGAUCCGCGCUGCAUUAGCUAGUUGGUAAGGUAACGGCUUACCAAGGCAACGAUGCAUAGCCGACCUGAGAGGGUGAUCGGCCACACUGGAACUGAGACACGGUCCAGACUCCUACGGGAGGCAGCAGUAGGGAAUCUUCCGCAAUGGGCGAAAGCCUGACGGAGCAACGCCGCGUGAGUGAUGAAGGUCUUCGGAUCGUAAAACUCUGUUAUUAGGGAAGAACAUAUGUGUAAGUAACUGUGCACAUCUUGACGGUACCUAAUCAGAAAGCCACGGCUAACUACGUG